This 460-nucleotide ribosomal RNA is filed under the name uncultured bacterium. RNAcentral describes it as "partial 16S ribosomal RNA". It matches the Rfam family "Bacterial small subunit ribosomal RNA", at positions 338 to 795 of the family's 1533-position model. The record is from RNAcentral.
CCUACGGGUGGCAGCAGUGAGGAAUAUUGGUCAAUGGACGAGAGUCUGAACCAGCCAAGUAGCGUGAAGGAUGACUGCCCUAUGGGUUGUAAACUUCUUUUAUAAAGGAAUAAAACGAGGCACGUGUGCCUUUUUGCAUGUACUUUAUGAAUAAGGAUCGGCUAACUCAGUGCCAGCAGCCGCGGUAACACGGAGGAUCCGAGCGUUAUCCGGAUUUAUUGGGUGUAAAGGGAGCGUAGAUGGGUUGUUAAGUCAGUUGGGAAAGUUUGCGGCUCAACCGUAAAAUUGCAAUUGAUACUGGUAGUCUUGAGUACAGUUGAGGUAGGCGGAAUUCGUGGUGUAGCGGUGAAAUGCUUAGAGAUCACGAAGAACCCCGAUUGCGAAGGCAGCUUACUAAACUGUGACUGACAUUGAUGCUCGAAAGUGUGGGUAGCAAACAGGAUUAGAUACCCUUGUAGUC